This 468-nucleotide ribosomal RNA is filed under the name uncultured bacterium. RNAcentral's name for it is "partial 16S ribosomal RNA". It matches the Rfam family "Bacterial small subunit ribosomal RNA", at positions 28 to 507 of the family's 1533-position model. The record is from RNAcentral.
GACGAACGCUGGCGGCGUGCUUAACACAUGCAAGUCGAACGGCAAGGCCCUGCCUUUGUGGGGUGCUCGAGUGGCGAACGGGUGAGUAACACGUGGGUACCCUGCCCUUGACUUUGGGAUAACUUCCGGAAACUGGGGCUAUACCCGGUUCGGAGCUCCUGCUGCAUGGGGGGGGUUGGAAAGUUUCGGCGGUAGGGGAUGGACGGGCGGCUUAUCAGCUUGUGGGUGGGGUAGUGGUUUACCAGGGGUUUGACGGAUAGCCGGCCUGAGGAGGUGGCCAGCGACAUGGGGACUGAGGGACGGCCCAGACGCCUACGUUGGGCAGCAGGGGAAAAUAUGGCACAGUGGGCGGAAGUGUGAUGCGGCAACGUUGGGUGCGUGAAGACGUCCUGCGGGGUGUGAACCGCUUGCGCCUGAGACGAAGCGUGAGUGACGGUAAUGGAUAAAGAAGCACCGGCUAACUACGUG